RNAcentral lists this ribosomal RNA (458 nucleotides) under Morganella morganii. RNAcentral's name for it is "bacterial SSU rRNA". It matches the Rfam family "Bacterial small subunit ribosomal RNA", at positions 1 to 454 of the family's 1533-position model. Lineage: Bacteria; Pseudomonadati; Pseudomonadota; Gammaproteobacteria; Enterobacterales; Morganellaceae. The record is from RNAcentral.
UUAAUUGAAGAGUUUGAUCAUGGCUCAGAUUGAACGCUGGCGGCAGGCCUAACACAUGCAAGUCGGGCGGUAACAGGGAGAAGCUUGCUUCUCCGCUGACGAGCGGCGGACGGGUGAGUAAUGUAUGGGGAUCUGCCUGAUGGCGGGGGAUAACUACUGGAAACGGUAGCUAAUACCGCAUAAUGUCUUCGGACCAAAGCGGGGGACCUUCGGGCCUCGCGCCAUCAGAUGAACCCAUAUGGGAUUAGCUAGUAGGUGAGGUAACGGCUUACCUAGGCGACGAUCCCUAGCUGGUCUGAGAGGAUGAUCAGCCACACUGGGACUGAGACACGGCCCAGACUCCUACGGGAGGCAGCAGUGGGGAAUAUUGCACAAUGGGCGCAAGCCUGAUGCAGCCAUGCCGCGUGUAUGAAGAAGGCCUUCGGGUUGUAAAGUACUUUCAGUCGGGAGGAAGGUGU